CAGUCGCCGCGGGAAUACGUAGGUCCCGAGCGUUGUCCGGAUUUAUUGGGCAUAAAGCGAGCGCAGGCGGUUAGAUAAGUCUGAAGUUGAAGGCUGUGGCUUAACCAUAGUACGCUUUGGAAACUGUUUAACUUGAGUGCAAGAGGGGAGAGUGGAAUUCCAUGUGUAGCGGUGAAAUGCGUAGAUAUAUGGAGGAACACCGGUGGCGAAAGCGGCUCUCUGGCUUGUAACUGACGCUGAGGCUCGAAAGCGUGGGUAGCAAACAGGAUUAGAUACCCGCGUAGUCCCUGUCUCUUAUACC
Molecule: ribosomal RNA, 301 nt
Filed under: uncultured bacterium
Lineage: Bacteria
Description: partial 16S ribosomal RNA
Rfam family: Bacterial small subunit ribosomal RNA
Source: RNAcentral